CAGAGGGUAGUUUAAUUUAGAAUCUUAGCUUUG
This 33-nucleotide transfer RNA is filed under the name Salvelinus alpinus (Arctic char). RNAcentral's name for it is "partial tRNA-Pro". The record is from RNAcentral. Lineage: Eukaryota; Metazoa; Chordata; Actinopteri; Salmoniformes; Salmonidae. RNAcentral also lists the same sequence under 1 other name.